AUUGAACGCUGGCGGCAUGCCUUACACAUGCAAGUCGAACGGCAGCACGGGUGCUUGCACCUGGUGGCGAGUGGCGAACGGGUGAGUAAUACAUCGGAACAUGUCCUGUAGUGGGGGAUAGCCCGGCGAAAGCCGGAUUAAUACCGCAUACGAUCUACGGAUGAAAGCGGGGGACCUUCGGGCCUCGCGCUAUAGGGUUGGCCGAUGGCUGAUUAGCUAGUUGGUGGGGUAAAGGCCUACCAAGGCGACGAUCAGUAGCUGGUCUGAGAGGACGACCAGCCACACUGGGACUGAGACACGGCCCAGACUCCUACGGGAGGCAGCAGUGGGGAAUUUUGGACAAUGGGCGAAAGCCUGAUCCAGCAAUGCCGCGUGUGUGAAGAAGGCCUUCGGGUUGUAAAGCACUAUUGUCCGGAAAGAAAUCCUUGGCCCUAAUACGGUCGGGGGAUGACGGUACCGGAAGAAUAAGCACCGGCUAACUACGUG
RNAcentral lists this ribosomal RNA (486 nucleotides) under uncultured bacterium. RNAcentral's name for it is "partial 16S ribosomal RNA". It matches the Rfam family "Bacterial small subunit ribosomal RNA", at positions 30 to 507 of the family's 1533-position model. The record is from RNAcentral.